AUCCGGGCUGCGGACAGUGUCUGGUGGGUAGUUUGACUGGGGCGGUCUCCUCCCAAAGCGUAACGGAGGAGCACGAAGGUUGGCUAAUCCUGGUCGGACAUCAGGAGGUUAGUGCAAUGGCAUAAGCCAGCUUGACUGCGAGAGUGACGGCUCGAGCAGGUGCGAAAGCAGGUCAUAGUGAUCCGGUGGUUCUGAAUGGAAGGGCCAUCGCUCAACGGAUAAAAGGUACUCCGGGGAUAACAGGCUGAUACCGCCCAAGAGUUCAUAUCGACGGCGGUGUUUGGCACCUCGAUGUCGGCUCAUCACAUCCUGGGGCUGAAGUAGGUCCCAAGGGUACGGCUGUUCGCCGUUUAAAGUGGUACGCGAGCUGGGUUUAGAACGUCGUGAGACAGUUCGGUCCCUAUCUGCCGUGGGCGCUGGAGAAUUGAGGGGGGUUGCUCCUAGUACGAGAGGACCGGAGUGAACGCACCGCUGGUGUCCGGGUUGUCACGCCAGUGGCACUGCCCGGUAGCUAAGUGCGGAAAAGAUAAGUGCUGAAAGCAUCUAAGCACGAAACUUGCCCCGAGAUGAGUUCUCCCUGAGCCUUUAAGGCUCCUGAAGGGACGUUGAAGACGACGACGUUGAUAGGCCGGGUGUGUAAGCGCAGCGAUGCGUUGAGCUUACCGGUACUAAUGACCCGUGAGGCUUAACCUU
This 693-nucleotide ribosomal RNA is filed under the name Pantoea ananatis. RNAcentral describes it as "partial 23S ribosomal RNA". It matches the Rfam family "Bacterial large subunit ribosomal RNA", at positions 2238 to 2925 of the family's 2925-position model. RNAcentral also lists the same sequence under 1 other name. Lineage: Bacteria; Pseudomonadati; Pseudomonadota; Gammaproteobacteria; Enterobacterales; Erwiniaceae. The record is from RNAcentral.